AUGUCCAUCCUGCGGGAUCAGACACGGCUGGCUGGCCCCACGGGUCAGCGUGUUAUCCCUGACACAGGCCCUUCCCCUCCCCACGGGCCGAGCACCGCGGGCGCCCGGGUCUCACGCCUCCCCUCUCGGGUUACUUCCUCUCCCCUUCUCCACUGGACCUGUGUCUCCCCGCUGAGGGCAGCACCCGAGGACCGCAGCGCAGGGCUGGAGCGGCCGGGCCAGGCCGGGCCGGGCGGGGCCGCCUUUGCGGAGGCGGUUUUCAGGGUUUUCCUGGUGCUGGAACUUCUGCGGUCCCGCUGUCAGUGGGCGGGCUCGCGGCCAGUGCCUUCUCCCUUAGUGUCUCCUGCUAGAAGUGGACCACCGCUUGCUUCUGUCCCGGAGGGGCUGCCCUUGUCUCACACCAGGCCCGUCUCGUUGUCUUGCCACCCCCUCCACAGCCCAGGCCACACUGGCUGUCUCACUGGCUGGCGGGACAAGUGCACUGGCAGGCGCUCCUCCCUGGGGGUUGGCUCCUGCCCAGGGGGCCAACAGUGCAAAUCACAGGCCACAAGAUUGCUGGAUCCCAGUUCUGCUCAAAGCUAUUUUAGACCUCACAGCCCCCCUUCCUCUCUAGGCUCUUCCUGUAACCCAGCCGGGCCGGGGGUCUCUGAGGCUGAGCGGGUUGGGCCAGGGUCAUGGGGCAGGGGCUCAGGCAGUGUUGCGAGCCUGGCUGUCCCCACUGGCCCACCCUCUGCAGCACUCCUGGGGCCCUGCCCAGGCAGCGCAGCUCCCAACCACAACACCCUCUGGGGUUUGGCCCGCAGAGCCAGGGCGGAUGCCCCCCAAAUAGCCCUGGCAGACUCCUCCAUGACCCGCCCACACCCCGGGCAGGCCUGCCAUCCCCCUCCCCAGCCCCUGCCCUCCUCCUGCCCACGGGGCACAGCCCAGGGGCUAUAAAGAGUGCUGGAGGCUGGAAGGGCAGACCAGCCAAGUCCUGAGCAGCAGCCGACCCACGGACGGACGGACGGACGCACAGAGCGACAGCAUGAGGGCCCUCACUCUUGUCGCCCUGCUGGCCCUGGCCGCACUCUGCCUCGCUGGCCAGGCAGGUGAGCGUCCCCACCCCUACCCAGGCGGCACUCCAGGAGGGGCUGCCUGGGGGAGACUCGCGGCGCCACCUCUGCUCACCCCUUCUGCUGGCAGACCCUGCCGCGGGCUCAGUCUGUCCCCAGUCCGACCUCGCCGAGGGAGAGGAGGGAAUAGCAGGGGGCCCGAGGGCUGAGCAGGGCUGACCAGCUCCUUUCCUUUGCAGAGGCAAAGCCCAGCGGUGCAGAGUCUGGCAGAGGCUCAGCCUUCGUGUCCAAGAGGGAGGGCAGCGAGGUGGUGAAGCGAGCCCGGCGCCAACUGAUCGACGGGCAGGGGUGAGAGCAGGCGGCGCGGGGAGCGGGGCAGGCUCACUGCUCGGGUGGGACACUCGGGGACGGGGGCUGGGCACGUUGCGGUGGGGGGAGCUGAUGCCACUGUCGGGCUUCCCAGAGCUCCGGCUCCUUACCCGGAUCCCCUGGAGCCCAAGAGGGAGGUGUGCGAGCUCAACCCGGACUGCGACGAGCUGGCCGACCAGGUGGGCCUGCAGGACGCCUACCAGCGCUUCUACGGGCCCGUCUAGGGCGUCUGCCCGCAGGCCGGCCCGGCUCUCCAGCUGCUCCCAAUAAACUCCAGAAGAGGAA
This is a non-coding RNA of Oryctolagus cuniculus (rabbit), 1706 nucleotides long. The record is from RefSeq and is a predicted model, not a curated record. NCBI's taxonomy places the organism in Eukaryota, Metazoa, Chordata, Mammalia, Lagomorpha, Leporidae.